This 253-nucleotide ribosomal RNA is filed under the name uncultured bacterium. RNAcentral's name for it is "partial 16S ribosomal RNA". It matches the Rfam family "Bacterial small subunit ribosomal RNA", at positions 524 to 776 of the family's 1533-position model. The record is from RNAcentral.
UACGGAGGGAGCUAGCGUUGUUCGGAAUUACUGGGCGUAAAGCGCACGUAGGCGGCUUUGUAAGUUAGAGGUGAAAGCCCGGGGCUCAACUCCGGAACUGCCUUUAAGACUGCAUCGCUUGAAUCCAGGAGAGGUGAGUGGAAUUCCGAGUGUAGAGGUGAAAUUCGUAGAUAUUCGGAAGGACACUAGUGGCGAAGGCGGCUCACUGGACUGGUAUUGACGCUGAGGUGCGAAAGCGUGGGGAGCAAACAGG